This 253-nucleotide ribosomal RNA is filed under the name uncultured bacterium. RNAcentral's name for it is "partial 16S ribosomal RNA". It matches the Rfam family "Bacterial small subunit ribosomal RNA", at positions 524 to 776 of the family's 1533-position model. The record is from RNAcentral.
UACGGGGGGGGCAAGCGUUGUUCGGAAUUACUGGGCGUAAAGGGCGCGUAGGCGGCCUGCUAAGUCACACGUGAAAUCCCUCAGCUUAACUGGGGAACUGCGUCUGAUACUGGAUGGCUUGAGUUUGGGAGAGGGAUGCGGAAUUCCAGGUGUAGCGGUGAAAUGCGUAGAUAUCUGGAGGAACACCGGUGGCGAAGGCGGCGUUCUGGACUGCAACUGACACUGAAAAACGAAAGCCAGGGGAGCAAACGGG